GAUGAACGCUAGCGGCAGGCCUAAUACAUGCAAGUCGAACGGAUAUAUGUUUUUCGGAAUAUAUAUUAGUGGCGCACGGGUGAGUAACACGUACAUAACUUGCCCUCAAGCGGGGGAUAGCCUUGGGAAACUGAGAGUAAUACCCCAUAGAAUUAUUGGACGGCAUCGUUUGAUAAUUAAAACUACGGUGCUUGGGGAUAGAUGUGCGUCUGAUUAGCUAGUUGGUGAGGUAACUGCUCACCAAGGCGACGAUCAGUAGGGGGCGUGAGAGCGUGGCCCCCCACACGGGUACUGAGACACGGACCCGACUCCUACGGGAGGCAGCAGUAAGGAAUAUUGGUCAAUGGAGGGAACUCUGAACCAGCCAUGCCGCGUGAAGGAUGACGGCCCUCUGGGUUGUAAACCGCUUUUGUCGGGGAAGAAAUACUCUGGACUAAUACUCUGGGGUGAUGACGGUACCUGAAGAAUAAGCACCGGCUAACUACGUGCCAGCAGCCGCGGUAAAGUAGUCG
This 512-nucleotide ribosomal RNA is filed under the name uncultured bacterium. Its description in RNAcentral is "bacterial SSU rRNA". It matches the Rfam family "Bacterial small subunit ribosomal RNA", at positions 28 to 530 of the family's 1533-position model. The record is from RNAcentral.